This is a long non-coding RNA of Thunnus maccoyii (southern bluefin tuna), 499 nucleotides long. RefSeq lists it as uncharacterized. NCBI's taxonomy places the organism in Eukaryota, Metazoa, Chordata, Actinopteri, Scombriformes, Scombridae. The transcript is spliced from 3 exons. The record is from RefSeq and is a predicted model, not a curated record.
UUUAAUACAUGUAUUGAAGAAAUACAUUUUCUAAUAAAUCUAUUCUAUUUUGGCCUAGACAUCAGUACAGUUGUCCUUUGUUGGAACAAGUUGGACAGUGGGGGUAGGUGUGGACAGCCAUCAUCACCCCAGUAGCCCUCUUCGCUCUCCCUCCAUCCAUCCUUCCUUCCUCCCUCCACCCCCGCCCUGCCUUGCUCCUUCACAUGGCUACUGUACUGAAUAGUGAUGAGAGAUUUACAGACUGAUGCGGGUCAAGGAAGUAUUGUAAUGCAUCUGGGAAAGAGAUGAGGAAGGUGGGGGUGAUAAAACUGUUGGUUGAUAGGGAUCUGAACCCAGGAGACAUGCAGUUGUUGUCCAUGCUGUUCCAGCCCCCUGGCACGUACACAAACUGCCGUGUUCUUGUUUUAUCUGAUUCUGCUGCAGCCUAACUUCCUACUGCUUUCACACUACAGUCCUCGCAUGGCACAUAUCCAUUAACAUCAGGGGCUCAGAGGUUCAA